AAAUUAUUGCCAUAUUGUCUUGACAAAAAAAAUCCGUUCCAGAACAUAAUCUUAUGAUUUAUAUAGUACCACUUGUGAUUGAAAAAUAUACGAAUAUACGAUAUUCUCAUGAAAUUCACUAUAUUUUUUUCCGGAGUGUACAAUAGUUAACAGCUUGAAAAAAAAAUAUCGAAGCAAGCUCUGCUUGACUCGCAGAGAAAAAAGUUGACAGUCGAUCGCGAAUGGUCUCCAGGGUUACCGAUGUAUUUUCUGUUCUUGCUGAUGACGGACAUCGAUAAAAACCCGUGAACUUUCGGAUUUUAACUGAACCGGGCAGUUUUGUGAGUAGAUGUGAGUAGGGCGGUAUGUCAAUUGCAACACAUUUUGAUUGUACAACUCCUUCGCGUAACACUGGCUGGUCUGGCGUGACCAGCGGUACAGUUUGAAACUCUCCAAGGUCACGGAAACUAAGCUAAACAGCCACUCAGAUUCUUGACAGGUUUUGCUUUGAACCACGUACUCAUCCACCAUGGACGGAAGACUAACGCUACGUUGCAAUCUGCUUGCCCAGGAAAUUGGAUCCUCGCGAAGAAGAAAUUCUAUUUAAUGCUAGUCCAGUUGUAGACUUGCAAGUUUUUCGAUCUCCUGCCUCUAAUCUGCGGCUGAAUAACCGCCCAAAGUUCCAUCGACAUUGGAGUAUUCCAAACGAUAGCUCUUCGUGGCAAGAAGGAUUGACUCAACGAGGUGUCGUUGCAAUGACGGUUGAAGUCCCGACGGCUAGGGGCAAGCAGGAGGUGGUGAUCGCAUCGGUCUACUUCCCUGACGAUACGGAUACAGCAUAUCUCUCCGAACUAAUGCACAUCAUAUAAUAUGGGGCACCACAGACGUAAAU
Long non-coding RNA from Topomyia yanbarensis, 871 nucleotides. RefSeq lists it as uncharacterized. NCBI's taxonomy places the organism in Eukaryota, Metazoa, Arthropoda, Insecta, Diptera, Culicidae. The transcript is spliced from 3 exons. The record is from RefSeq and is a predicted model, not a curated record.